GAUGAAUGCUGGCGGCGUGCCUAACACAUGCAAGUCGAACGAGGCAAAUGAGAUGAAGUUUUCGGAUGGAUUCUUAUUUACCGAGUGGCGGACGGGUGAGUAACGCGUGGGUAACCUGCCUCAUACAGGGGGAUAACGAUUGGAAACGAUUGCUAAUACCGCAUAAGCGCACAGUACCACAUGGUACGGUGUGAAAAACUCCGGUGGUAUGAGAUGGACCCGCGUCUGAUUAGCUAGUUGGUGAGGUAACGGCCCACCAAGGCAACGAUCAGUAGCCGACCUGAGAGGGUGACCGGCCACAUUGGGACUGAGACACGGCCCAGACUCCUACGGGAGGCAGCAGUGGGGGAUAUUGCACAAUGGAGGAAACUCUGAUGCAGCGACGCCGCGUGAGUGAAGAAGUAUUUCGGUAUGUAAAGCUCUAUCAGCAGGGAAGAAAAUGACGGUACCUGACUAAGAAGCCCCGGCUAACUACGUGCCAGCCGCCGCCGUAA
RNAcentral lists this ribosomal RNA (494 nucleotides) under uncultured bacterium. RNAcentral describes it as "partial 16S ribosomal RNA". It matches the Rfam family "Bacterial small subunit ribosomal RNA", at positions 28 to 523 of the family's 1533-position model. The record is from RNAcentral.